ACACUGCUGAGCCUGGGGUGGUUUGGAAUUCUUCGGCGAAGUGGAGCGGGCUGAGAGUGGGUUUCCCGUCCCCGAGCCCUCCCUCAUCUCGGAGAUGCCGCACUUGUGAGCGACAGGGCUUCAUUUGAAUUUUCGCACCUCGCGAGUUGCGGAGCCUGCAUCUCUGAAGCUGCCUCGGUGAAGAGCCACAGCAUUAUUUUUUUUCUCUUUGGGAGAGUAGCUGUCUGGGAUUUGAGAUCCUAUCUUCCCUGCAAAUUACCAGGUUGCAUCUUCACUGAUAGGAAUACAUUUCUUCACCAAAGGACAUGGAUGAAAAUGAAAGCAACCAGUCUCUGAUGACAAGCAGCCAAUAUCCUAAAGAAGCAGUAAGAAAACGUCAAAAUUCAGCACGGAAUUCCGGAGCAAGUGAUUCUUCUAGGUUUUCUAGGAAAAGCUUCAAACUGGAUUAUAGACUAGAAGAAGAUGUAACUAAAUCCAAGAAAGGAAAAGAUGGGAGAUUUGUGAAUCCGUGGCCAACAUGGAAAAACCCCUCUAUUCCAAAUGUUCUCAGAUGGCUGAUAAUGGAGAAAGAUCACAGCAGUGUUCCAAGUUCUAAAGAGCUUUCAAAAAGGAAGACCAGCCAAGAAAGUCUUGAUCUAGCCAUGAAAAUGCCACGUGGCCUCAGCUUUUCCUCUGAACUUCCUAAAGAGAGAAGUAUCAUGAAAUCUUAAGAGUUUUCCCAGUGACAGAAAUGACAAAGCCAGGUGCUCUGGAGAAGAAUUUUUCCUGAAACGAGAUGGGAGGGAAAUGUUUCUGGGGUAAGUAGGAAGGUGGAGGUGGUACCAAGUCUGCAGCCUGAACACAUACAUGGUGAGUUUCAUGAGGUGGCUUCCUAUGAGAGACCUCCAUGCAGCUAUAUAGCAUGGUACCAGAGCACAAUUCAGUAAAAGAGCUUUAUAAAAGCCAGGACUGUGAUGCUGCAACCUUACCACUUUUUGUUGGCCUAGCUUAAUCCAAGUAUAAAAUGUAGAAUAACCAAGGGAUAAUACUCUUCACGCUUUGUUAUAGUUAUUGUUUUAUAUCCAUUUACGGCCCCCCUUAUCUCAGUGAUCAGCUUCUCACAGGAAGGGAUCAUAUUCACGUUGGUUUGAUUAAUGGUAGAAAAUCAGAAAGGUAAGGAAUGAGGAAAACAAUUUAUGACUGUGAUUUGUCCAGGAAUCAUCACAGCGCUCCAUUUUGAAUUAUAGGUACUCAGAAAGUGAGAUUCAGGCCAGGCACAGUGGCUCACGCCUAUAAUACCAGCACUUUGGGAGGGCAAGACAGGAUGAUUGCUUGAGCCCAGGAGUUCAAGAUCAAUCUGGGCAACAUAAUGAGACCCUGUCUCUACAAAAAAUAAAAAAUUAGCUGGAUAUGGUGGUGCUGUGUGCCUGUGAUCCCAGCUGAGAGGUUGAGGUGGGAUGAUCACUUGACCCUGGGGGGUUGUGGCUGUAGAGAGCUGUGAUUAUGCCACUGCACCCCAGCCUGGGUAACAGAGCGAGAGCCUGUCUCAGACAAAAAAAAAAAAAAAAAAAAAAAAAAGAAAAAUAUCAGAUUCAUGAUUCAUGUCUGAGAGCCAAGAGCUACAAAUAAAUGGUCAUAAGCUUUCUUUACUAUUUCCAGGGACUGACCUGCUUUUAAGGCAGUUUUUAGCAGCAAAUACAUCAGCUGAGUAGAAUGGCAAUAGAAAAAUGACUGCAUCUAGGCCAGUCUACUUCUGGCAGUACUGAAGAGAGCCUUUAAAAAAUUGAUACAUUUAGCAGCACUCAAAGUUUUAAAUUUAAUUUUCUCUUUUGCAUUUGGGAGGAAGAAGAUUACCAUAUUAUCAUGAUUAUUAAGUCAGAUUCAGAAAGAAGUAUGCAUUUUCAAGAAAAAAGCAAAAGUGUAGCAAGUUUAUUGAAUGACUUUAGUUCUCUUAAAACAGCUCUUCUUGCCAUUAUUUAGGUCAAAAUGUGGACUAUGAUGAUAUAAUACUUUUUUUUCUAACUACUCUUUUGUCUUGCUUUCUUUAUACACAAAGGAACUAGACAAAGAACUCCCAGUGCUUAAGCCAUAUUUUAUCACUAACCCUGAAGAAGCUGGAGUGAGGGAAGCUGGCUUAAGAGUCACAUGGCUGGGACAUGCCACGGUAAUGGUGGAAAUGGAUGAGCUCAUAUUUCUCACGGAUCCCAUCUUUAGCUCUCGUGCUUCACCAUCGCAGUACAUGGGUCCAAAGCGAUUUCGUCGUUCCCCGUGCACAAUAAGUGAACUCCCUCCAAUAGAUGCGGUCCUUAUCAGUCACAACCACUAUGACCAUCUGGACUACAAUUCUGUCAUUGCUUUGAAUGAGCGAUUUGGUAAUGAGUUGAGAUGGUUUGUGCCUUUGGGUCUCCUUGACUGGAUGCAAAAAUGUGGCUGUGAGAAUGUGAUUGAGUUGGACUGGUGGGAGGAGAAUUGUGUCCCCGGACAUGAUAAGGUCACUUUUGUCUUUACACCUUCCCAGCACUGGUGUAAAAGGACUCUAAUGGAUGACAACAAGGUGCUAUGGGGCAGCUGGUCUGUCUUGGGGCCUUGGAAUCGAUUUUUUUUCGCAGGAGAUACUGGUUAUUGCCCUGCUUUUGAAGAGAUAGGAAAAAGAUUUGGACCUUUUGACCUUGCAGCUAUUCCCAUCGGAGCUUAUGAACCGAGGUGGUUUAUGAAAUACCAGCAUGUAGACCCAGAAGAAGCUGUAAGGAUUCACACUGAUGUCCAAACAAAGAAAUCUAUGGCAAUUCACUGGGGAACUUUUGCCUUAGCAAAUGAGCAUUACUUAGAGCCUCCAGUGAAGCUGAAUGAAGCUCUAGAGAGAUACGGACUUAACGCUGAAGAUUUUUUUGUCUUGAAGCAUGGAGAAUCAAGAUACCUAAAUAAUGAUGAUGAAAACUUUUAAUAAAUAAUUUCCUGAGGUGAAAAACCGAUAUUGAAGAUUCAUUUUUCUUUUUUCCAUUCUUCAGGACCUUCGGCAAGGUGAGUCAAGGCUCUCUACCUACCUAGAUGUUUUUCAGAGGCCUACAAAUACAAGUAUCUUUCUUAUAUGCACAUUCUAAUAAAUGAUGAAAUUCAGUCCAACAUGCUUAUUAUAAACAUAGCAAUUCUUGCUCUAUCAAAUUAGCUUAUAUGCCAAAUAUUAAAUAUGGUUUAUUUAGGUAAGCAUAAAAACAUAGGGGCUAUCAUUUUUAAAGACUUGAUUUUCUCUAUUGUGGUAAAAUAUAUAAAUACAUAUUUGCCAUUUUAAACAUUUACCAUUUUAACCAUUUUUAAGUGUACAGUUCUUUCGCAUUAAUGCACCCAUGACCACCAUUCACUUAAAUUUUUAAAAGAACAGUAUAUUCUUUUUUUCCUAGAGCCUUCAGAUGAGAGGGAACAGUAUAUUCUAUUGCACGUCUACAAUUCCCAAAAGACCUCUUACUUUGGGAGGCCAAGGUGGGUGGGUCACUUGAACCCAGGAGUUUGACAUCAACCUGGGCAACAUGGUGACCUCCCGUCUCUCUCGGAAAAAAAAAAAGAAAAAAGAAAAAGCCGGGUGAGGUGGUGUGUACCUGUAGUCACAGGUACUUGGGAGGCUGAGGUGGGAGGAUCACUUGAGCCCAGGAGAUAGAGGCUGCAGUGAGCUGUGAUCGUACCACUGCACUCCAGCCUGGGCGACAAAAUGAGACCCUGUCUCAAAAGAAAGCCCUCUCCUUAGCUGAGCAGAGGAAGGGAAGGAGUGUGGCUAUGAGAAUAUGAUUUAUGCCAUUUUCUGUUUUUAAAUCUAGAAGAUCUUCUAAGCACAAAUACAGCUACAAUGAAAUAUUUUACAGACAAAAUGUUAAUAGACCAUAUUCUUUGAAUUAAAUUUGUUUUUAAUUUUCUCUACACAUUUUUUUUUUCCUGGAGUCUCUUAGCUCUAAAUAUAUCAAUCAGAUUUAUAAUUUUUUUUACCUGAUUCAGAUGUCUUACAUUUUUAUAUUAAAUGAACCUUAAGCAUGAUUCUUUUGGUAAGCCAGUAUGAAUGCCAGUGGUUGGGGGGCGGGGGGGGAGUCAGUUGACAUAAGAUUUAGUCCUAAUAAGGACUCUGUAUUCACUUGAUUAUUCUGACCCUUCCUAAGGGAGGGAGGUGGAUUAGAUACCACUGGAGGCCCAUUCUGUAUUCCUAAUCCAGUCUCAGCACUUUAUUCAUACAAAAUAAUCAAAAUAGGUUUUCUACACCAAAUGCUACCCAGGCAGUGCUCUAUAAUUUAUUUGCACACCUGUAUGUGUGGUGCCACGUUAGCCACUAAAUCUGAACUUUUACCCUGCUUUCAUCAUGGAUUUUUUUGUGUAACCUGAAACAAGUCACCAGUGCUCACUGUGCCUGUUUCCUCAUUUGCAACAAGAGGAUAAUUCCGACCUACCUCUGAAAAAUGUGUAGAUUAAAUGAGUUUUUAAAGCACUUUAGAAAAUAUAAGGGAGAAAAUGAUUUCUUAAGAUAUCACUGCCUAAUAUAGACAGGUAUAUUUGAAAGCUAAAUACAGGUUAAUGCUUUUGAUAAUGUAUUGUUCCUGUUGCAAAUUUAAGCAUUAUAUAUUAGGAGACUAAACAUUGAAAACUUUCACUGAUUUUUAAAUUGGAGUAAUAGCCUAAAUAAGUGUAAAUAAUCUUUAUCAAAAUUUAGUGUUUAUCUACAAAGAUGCGAAUCAGUCAAGGGGAAAUGUGUAUGCAAUGUGUGUGUAUAUGAUGUAUGCGAACAUAUGUGAUUUUGGGGUACUAAAGCACAAAAAAAUCCCCCAUAAAAUAAACCUUCCUGAAAAGACUGAUCAUAAACUUUUUCACUCCAAGCAGAUGUGAAUCAAGAUGUUAGGUUUAUGGUGAGUUAGCUUUGAGGUGUGUUGCCCUAAUACUAGCCAGCGUUGUUGUAGCCAUAUUCCCUGCUGCUGCACGCCGAAUUGAAAAUCCAUCUCUUACCUCUUCUCUAUGAAGCAAGCCAGGUAUGUCUUGCUUAAGUAUUUCUUCUCCAUGAAUGGCCUUAACAUUAUUUUGUAUUCACGUGUACUGUUUAACUGAGGGUCUCAAAGCACUUUAAACUGUUGUGUUCUAUUUCCACUCGUCUGGCCUGCCUCAUUUUUCUAGGCCCUUUUGUAAGCUGUAAUUUUUUAUUACCACUCAUGUUCUUUCUACACUGACACUAUUCAUUAAGAACAUCAAGCUUCAUCUCUGCUUACAGAAUCUCACCUUAUUGAGUGGGUUCCACUUUAUUUUUCAUUUGUUAUCUACAUUUUGAAGGGUUUAUGUGCAAAGUGAAAACAAAUUUUGAAAAAUAAGACAAAUCCAUUCUCUUCUUCAAUUCAGUCUAAUAUGCAUUGUAGUGUCUUUUAAUCAGUCUUAUCCUCUAAGUCAACUUCAUUUUCCUCUUCGUGAAUACCCAUAGCAAUAUGUAAGAUUUUAUUGAAGUUUCCUGUGAUAACUGAGGAAUACUUUGCUAUGCCUCACUGCCCAAUAGGGUGGGUCAUCAAUUAGGAGAAAUCCCAAAUUAUAAAAGCCAACAUAUGCCGUGACCUACGUAGGAAAAGAUGUAUUUGUGCAUCUUCUUUCUGGGUAGUUAAAAAUUACUCCCUCUUUUCUCUAGCAUUUUGACAUUUCAGACUCAAUGCUCUGAUCUCUAGGGAGUGUGAUUAUUCAAACUAAUGAGAGGACAAGAAGACACAGUUUUAGAAUCUACUGCUGCUAAAGCACAUUAAAAACAAAUCCUGGUUUUUAAUGUAUGCAUAGUUUCAUAUUUAAUGAAUAUGCUUUCAUUAAAUAGGGAGGUAGAUUUGAAAAAACCGUUAUAAAGAAAUGUGCCUUUUGGGGAAUGAAUACUUUUGUUCAUGUCUAGCCCACUGGGAAUUUUGUUUUCACCUUAUACUGAGUCCUUUUUCUAAUGUAAAAAUAUUUCUUCCAAGUUUGAUUUCUGUAUCAGGGUAACAUUGAGAACACACAUAUUUCUGUUUGAGGAUUUGUGACUUCCUAUGGAAACAGUCUUGCAUCUAUGUAUUUACAAAUGAAAUUUAAAGUAUUCUUAAAGCUUUGCCUUAAAUACUGCUUGCAUACUGAUUUACUUAAUGCUAAGCAUGGCAGGGGUUAUAAAUUUAAAUACUAUAAGACCUGGCUGAAUCCCAGAUGUAUCAAUAAAUUGUUAUAGUAGCUUAUGGAAAAUGCUAUUAAAGAUAAAUUUUCAUACAUUGUAUUUUUAGUCAAGUAAAAUAUGGAUGAAAAUUAAUAAAGUACUGUCAAGGGAAAAAAUA
Molecule: RNA transcript, 6275 nt
Organism: Homo sapiens (human)
Lineage: Eukaryota; Metazoa; Chordata; Mammalia; Primates; Hominidae
Gene: NAPEPLD
Gene name: N-acyl phosphatidylethanolamine phospholipase D
Exons: 7
Source: RefSeq, marked validated